This 562-nucleotide ribosomal RNA is filed under the name Rhorus neustriae. RNAcentral's name for it is "eukaryotic LSU rRNA". Lineage: Eukaryota; Metazoa; Arthropoda; Insecta; Hymenoptera; Ichneumonidae. The record is from RNAcentral.
CCUGAGAAACCCAAAAGAUCGAAUGGGGAGAUUCAUCGUCAGCGAUCCCGGCACGUGUGCGGUUCGCGAUGCGGGAGGCUUCGGUCUCACCGCACGCGUCCGCAUGGUUUUUUUGUCGGGUGUCGUCGGCGUGCACUUCUCCCCUAGUAGGACGUCGCGACCCGUUGGGUGUCGGUCUACGGCCCGGGUGGGCGCCUGUCAUGUGUUUCGCUUUAUCGCGUCAUGUGGCAGACCCCCGGUUGUCCGACCAGCUGCCCGGCGGUACUCGCACGAUAUCGAGCCGCAAACAAUCGAACUGCGUCCGGCCCGCCGCAAGCGAGGCCAGUGUUUCCCGGAUGUUACGGACCUAGAGCCGUCACCGGGCCUGGCCAGCUGUUGGUUGGCGGUGUCCUGGGACUGGCUAAUAAUAUUUAUGAUAUCGGUCAGCGACGCUACUGCUUUGGGUACUUUCAGGACCCGUCUUGAAACACGGACCAAGGAGUCUAACAUGUGCGCGAGUCAUUGGGAACUCUUAAGCCUAAAGGCGCAAUGAAAGUGAAGGUCGGCCCUGCGCCGACCGAGG